UACAGAGGGGGCAAGCGUUGUUCGGAAUUACUGGGCGUAAAGGGCGCGUAGGCGGCCUUCUAAGCCGAACGUGAAAUCCCCGGGCUCAACCCGGGAACUGCGUCCGAUACUGGAAGGCUUGAAUCCGGGAGAGGGAUGCGGAAUUCCAGGUGUAGCGGUGAAAUGCGUAGAUAUCUGGAGGAACACCGGUGGCGAAGGCGGCAUCCUGGACCGGCAUUGACGCUGAGGCGCGAAAGCGUGGGGAGCAAACAGG
RNAcentral lists this ribosomal RNA (253 nucleotides) under uncultured bacterium. RNAcentral's name for it is "partial 16S ribosomal RNA". It matches the Rfam family "Bacterial small subunit ribosomal RNA", at positions 524 to 776 of the family's 1533-position model. The record is from RNAcentral.